RNAcentral lists this small RNA (51 nucleotides) under Arabidopsis thaliana (thale cress). RNAcentral's name for it is "ATSL104510". The record is from RNAcentral. Lineage: Eukaryota; Viridiplantae; Streptophyta; Magnoliopsida; Brassicales; Brassicaceae.
AUGAAAUAAAAUGCGAGGACGGUAUUUGUAUUUGCUAAAAAGAAGCAAAAC